Long non-coding RNA from Malus domestica (apple), 2212 nucleotides. RefSeq lists it as uncharacterized. The record is from RefSeq and is a predicted model, not a curated record. Lineage: Eukaryota; Viridiplantae; Streptophyta; Magnoliopsida; Rosales; Rosaceae.
UCCCUCCCACCACUGAGUAAGGUACUCAGUUUUAAUUUUUAGGGAUUUAAGAUUUAGUGUUUUCUAGAUUUUGGGGUCUUGAUCUAAUAAUUUCUAGUUGUCUGAUAACGGAAUCAACUGCUUAGUCUUAUAAUUUUGAAGCUUUGCUUUGAUAUUUUGAUUAAAUUGAAAUUUGAAUUAUGAGAAUAUUAGAAACUUACAUAUCUAUGUAAUGAAGAAAAAGAAAAUUAGAAACUUACAUGAAUUGAUCAAAAUAAUUACACCAACAAAAUAUCCAUUCAGUCAAAAUUUUGCACCAUUACAGAAUUGAUCUAAAUUCUAAUAACUAGCAGCAAACAAAACUUUAAUUUUAACUCAAAAUCGAAACCAUAAUAAAAUAGGAAAGUUAGCUAAAAAUUUCGCACCAUUACAAAAUUGAUUACAUUUUUUAUUCAGAAUAGAUUACAUUUUUUUUUUCCUUUUCAAAACAGGUUAUUUUCACAUAUCCUUUGUAAUCCAAACACAACACUAGCUCAAUUCAAUUUCAGAUCAAAACGACCCUGACUGUACUAUUAUUAUCAAAAUCCACAACCAUAUCAAUCACAAAAUGGAAGCUUGAAUGAGAUAAAAAAAUAUUUAAAAACUUAUCACUUUUAUCUUAUUGAAUAUGGCUUCCAGGGAGAAAAAAGGGAAAAAUUGAUGGCGAAAUCUCUUUUCUACAUGAACAACAAAAACCCAGCACAAUGACACCAAAUACAAUCUAAUCCAAUUCAAUCAAACCAAUCUCAAUUCUCAUAUUCGACUUUAAUCUCAAUUCAAUCUCAUAAUUCCAAAUACAAUCUGCUUUGCUCAAUUCAGUUUCAAAACAAACGACCCGGACUGUACUAUUAUUAUCAAAAUCCACAAGCAUAUCAAUAAGAAAUGGAAGCUUGAAUGAGAGAAAAAAAAUAUGUAAAAACUGACCACCUUUAUCUUAUUGAAUAUGGCUUACAAGGAAAAAAGGGAAAAACUGAUGGCGAAAUCUUUUAUCAACAUGAACAACAAAAACCCAGCACAAUGACACCAAAUACAAUCUAAUCUCAAUUCAAUCAAACCAAACUCAAUUCUCAUAUUCCAAUCUAAUCUCAUUUUAAUCUCAUAAUUCCAAACACAAUAUGCUUAUAAGAAUGACCCCAACACUUGCCCACCGAUCACCAACACCCCAAAUCUAAAUAUUCUCAUAAUUCUAAUUCCAAUUCAAUCAAAUACCAAAGCAAAGCUUCAAAAUUAUAAGACUAAGCAGUCGAUUCCAUCAUCAGACAACUAGGAAUUAUUAGGUCAAGACCCCAAAAUCCCAAAAUCUAGAAAACACUAAAUCUUAAAUCCUUCGCCCAUGAGCGGUAGGUCUUGGGUUCGAGACUUGGGAGCAGCCUCUCCAUAAAUGGGGGUAAGGCUAGCCGACAUUCACCUCUCCCAGACCCUGCGUAAAGCGGGAGCUUAUGCACUGGGUACGACCUUACUUAGUGGUGGGAGGGAUCGAGCUAUCGACUUCAGUUGAGAGGAGAUGAUGGUUGGUGGUGGUCAGAGUCAGGAGAGAGAAGAGAUGUGGGGAGUUGAGACUUGAGAGGAGAUGGUGGUGGUGCCUGGUAGUCGAAGACUCGGAAUCCAGAGAGUAUGGGGGAUGGAGUUAAGACUCGGAGUCCAACGGGUAAAAUAAUUAAAAGAAAUUAUUUCAAUGUGUUUCAUAUUCUUUUAUAUAGUGUUCAAAUUUAAAUUCAACGACUAAGAUGAUUAAAUCCAACAGUUAAAAACAAAAUUGACGGUCCAAAUUUAAAUUCAACGGCUAAUAUAAUUCAAAUUCAGAAUCACCGGCUCUCUCUUUCUCUCUCGACUCCUUUCUGACUGUCAAGUCUCUGUCUCCUCUCGAAUUCUGUCUUUCACCUCCAACGGCUGCACUGCACAUGGUAUUGCACUUGUCAGAUGCCGUAUAACCCAGAUAAUCUCAUGGUGUGGUGUGAGGCAUGCAAGGAGUGGUAACAUGCUGAGUGCGAGGGAAUGACUAGUUAUGAAGUAGAAAGGAUCAAGCCCUAGCAAUAUAUUUGCAUAAAAUGUUCAUCUGCAUGACUUGGAACUCUUUUAGAUUUUUUUUUAAAACUAAAUUGUAUUUGCAAUUACAAAGAGGUAUUUUAGUUGCUAUUUACUUUUGGAUGUGUAGAACUAAAGAAAGAUAAACUUGAAUCUCAAUUUUCAUGGA